CCCGGAAGUGCUCGUGGUCCGUCUUUGUGUUUGUGUUUAGCUUGCUGUCAAACAUCAGCGGCUCCAAAGCACCGUGAUGGAGUGAUGUGUGAGCGCAGAUGAUGGAGGAACGCUUCUCUCUCUGAGCCAGAGCCGCAUGAACCCGCCUGAACCUGGUUACAUUCGGCUGAAUCCAUGCUUUCUGAUGAACUUGACUCCAAGCCUGAGGUAUUUUGCAGUGUGAGGAGGUUACAGA
Sinocyclocheilus grahami is the source of this 235-nucleotide long non-coding RNA. RefSeq lists it as uncharacterized. The record is from RefSeq and is a predicted model, not a curated record. NCBI's taxonomy places the organism in Eukaryota, Metazoa, Chordata, Actinopteri, Cypriniformes, Cyprinidae. The transcript is spliced from 3 exons.